This 2891-nucleotide ribosomal RNA is filed under the name Lachnobacterium bovis. Its description in RNAcentral is "bacterial LSU rRNA". It matches the Rfam family "Bacterial large subunit ribosomal RNA". Lineage: Bacteria; Bacillati; Bacillota; Clostridia; Lachnospirales; Lachnospiraceae. The record is from RNAcentral.
UCAAGCAAAAAAGAGCGCAGGGUGGAUGCCUUGGCACUAAGAGCCGACGAAAGACGUGAUAAGCUGCGAAAAGCUGCGGGGAAGUGCAAAUAACUAAAGAUCCGCAGAUGUCUGAAUGGGGGAACCCAUCUAACAAAAGUUAGAUAUCCAUAUGUGAAUAAAAUAGUGUAUGGAAGGGAACCCGGUGAACUGAAACAUCUAAGUAGCCGGAGGAAUAGAAAGAAACAUCGAUUUUGUGAGUAGCGGCGAGCGAAAGCGAAAGAGGCCAAACCAGUGUGCGUGCAUGCUGGGGUUCGGACCGUAUAAUUGAUUUGACAGAGUGAGCAGAAUUGUAUUGGGAAAUCAAGCCAAAGAGGGUGAAAGCCCCGUAAGCGAAGCGAAGGAGACAAGACGGGAUCCAGAGUACAUCGAGACACGAGAAACCUUGAUGGAAAGAGCGGGGACCACCCCGUAAGCCUAAAUACUACUUAGUGACCGAUAGCGCAUAGUACUGUGAAGGAAAGGUGAAAAGAACCCCGGGAGGGGAGUGAAAGAGAACCUGAAACCCUGUGUUUACAAGCUGUGGAACAACGAAAGUUGAACUGCGUACUUUUUGUAGAACGGUCCGGCGAGUUAUUGUUGUUGGCAAGGUUAAGAACUUAAGGUUUGGAGCCGAAGGGAAACCAAGUCUGAAAAGGGCGAGAAGUCAGUAGCAAUAGACCCGAAACCGGGUGAUCUAUCCAUGUCCAGGUUGAAGAUGCCGUAAAAAGGCAUUGGAGGACCGAAGCCACAUCCGUUGAAAAGGGUGGGCAUGAGGUGUGGAUAGGGGAGAAAUUCCAAUCGAACCCGGAGAUAGCUGGUUCUCCUCGAAAUAGCUUUAGGCUAGCCUCGUUUUAGUCACAUGGAGGUAGAGCACUGAAUUUCAGAGGGGGCGUCAAAAGCCUACCAAAGAAUAUCAAACUCCGAAUGCCAAGGUGAUGAUGAACGGGAGUCAGACUGCACGAGAUAAGUUGGGUAGUCAAAAGGGAAAGAGCCCAGACCACCAGCUAAGGUCCCAAAGUGAGCGUUAAGUGGAAAAGGAUGUGUGGAUUCGAAGACAACUAGGAUGUUGGCUCAGAAGCAGCCAAGCAUUUAAAGAGUGCGUAACAGCUCACUAGUCGAGAGUCCAUGCGCCGAAAAUGUCCGGGGCUAAAACGCGACACCGAAGCUGUGGAAUUACGUAAGUAAUUGGUAGAGGAGGCAUUCUUAAAACAGAAGAAGCCGUACCGAAGGAACGGUGGAUGGAUAAGAAGAGAGAAUGCCGGAAUGAGUAGCGAGAGGAAGGUGAGAAUCCUUCCGGCCGAAUAUCUAAGGUUUCCAGAGUAAAGCUGAUCUGCUCUGGGUAAGUCGGGGCCUAAGGAGAGGUCGCAAGACGUAUCCGAUGGACAACAGGUUUAGAUUCCUGUACUACAAUCAGAGAGAAAUGUAGGGACGCAUUGGGAAAGCGAAUCCACGAAAGGAAGAGUGGUGCAAGCGUAUAAGAGGGCGAUAGGAAAAGCCGUCGCCGAAAUCGAAAGCGUGAAGCGGAGUGAAAAGAGUAACGAAGUUCGUGAGCCGAGUGCCGAGAAAAGCUGCUAUUAAAUUGAUUGUACCCGUACCGUAAACCGACACAGGUGGAUGAGGAGAGAAUCCUAAGGCCGACGGAAGAAGCAUUGUUAAGGAAUUCGGCAAAAUGACCCGUAACUUCGGGAGAAGGGGUGCCUGAGAAAUCAGGUCGCAGAGAAUAGGCUCAAGCAACUGUUUAGCAAAAACACAGGUCUAUGCGAAACCGAAAGGUGAAGUAUAUGGGCUGACGCCUGCCCGGUGCUGGAAGGUUAAGAGGAGAGGUAAGCGAAAGCGAAGCUUUGAAUUUAAGCCCCAGUAAACGGCGGCCGUAACUAUAACGGUCCUAAGGUAGCGAAAUUCCUUGUCGGGUAAGUUUCCGACCCGCCACGAAAGCGUAAUGAUUUUGAGCACUGUCUCGACAAUGCAUCCGGUGAAAUUGAAAUACCAGUGAAGAUGCUGGUUACCCGCGCCAGGACGGAAAGACCCCAUGGAGCUUUACUCUAGUUUGAUACUGGGAUUCGGUACUUCAUGUACAGGAUAGGUGGGGAGACGAAGAGAGAUGUACGCAAGUAUGUCAGGAGUCGCUGUUGGGAUACCACCCUUGAAGUAUUGGAUUUCUAACCAGAGUCCGUAAACCGGACAUGGGACAAUGUCAGCGGGGAGUUUGACUGGGGCGGUCGCCUCCGAAAGGGUAUCGGAGGCGCUCAAAGGUUCCCUCAAAAUGGUCGGAAACCAUUUGAAGAGUGCAAAGGCAAAAGGAGCUUGACUGCGACAUGCGACGGAUGGAGCAGGUUACGAAAAGUAGGACUUAGUGAUCCGGUGGUAUGAAAGUGGGAUUGCCAUCGCUCAACGGAUAAAAGCUACCCUGGGGAUAACAGGCUUAUCACUCCCAAGAGUUCACAUCGACGAGUGGUUUGGCACCUCGAUGUCGGCUCAUCGCCAUCCUGGGGCUGUUAGCAGGUCCCAAGGGUUGGGCUGUUCGCCCAUUAAAGCGGUACGCGAGCUUGGGUUCAGAACGUCGUGAGGACAGUUCGGUCCCUAUCCGGCGCGGGGCGUAGGAUAUUUGAGAGGAGCUGUCCUUAGUACGAGAGACCGGGAUGGACGAACCACUGGUGUAAUCUGUUGUCGACCAACGGCAUAGCAGAGUAGCCAAGUUCGAAGGGAUAAACGCUGAAGGCAUCUAAGCGUGAAGCCCCCUCCAAGAUGAGAUAUCCCCUCCUAAAAGGAAUAAAACCCCCUGAGAGACUAACAGGUUAAAAUAGGCAGAGGUGAAGUGCAGUAAUGUAUGUAGGCUGACUGUUAAGCUAAUAGGUCGAAGGCUUGGACCA